This 168-nucleotide small nuclear RNA is filed under the name Lynx canadensis (Canada lynx). RNAcentral describes it as "U2 spliceosomal RNA (ENSLCNG00005008867.1)". It matches the Rfam family "U2 spliceosomal RNA". Rfam says of the family: U2 is a small nuclear RNA (snRNA) component of the spliceosome (involved in pre-mRNA splicing). Complementary binding between U2 snRNA (in an area lying towards the 5' end but 3' to hairpin I) and the branchpoint sequence (BPS) of the intron results the bulging out of an unpaired adenosine, on the BPS, which initiates a nucleophilic attack at the intronic 5' splice site, thus starting the first of two transesterification reactions that mediate splicing. Lineage: Eukaryota; Metazoa; Chordata; Mammalia; Carnivora; Felidae. The record is from Rfam by way of RNAcentral.
AUCGCUUCUCGGCCUUUUGGCUAAGAUCAAGUGCAAAAUGUUAUAGAUCAUGGAUCCAUAGAUUAUGGAUUUAUAUAUAAAACAUAAUGCUGUAAAUUUUUUUAGGAAAAAAAGUACAAGAAAAUCUAUGGGAUCUAGGGUAGGCAGAGUUCUUGGACUUUACUCCAA